AGGUUUUGAUGGCUGCCCAUGUUAUUUUCAAGAAACUAUUGAUGUAAGAAGCUGUGGUUCUUUUCAUCAGCUUGAACCUGAAACUGUCGCUAUGGAUAACUCAGGUUUUUGUUAUCAACUAUAUCAUCUUUUUCACUAUUUUGAAACUCUUAAGAUUAAACUUUAGUAAAGUUGUUUUAGUUAUCCAUGUAAUCAGGCUGAGGAUACUUAGCUGCCUAUUUAGGCAAAUGUCAGAAUUUAGUUUGUUCGCUGGGAACUGGUGUGGACUGGCAAAGGAUGAUGAGAUAGUUUUUUGAGUGAGUAAAUUUUGGGAGCUUGAGUGUAUUGGGAUUUGCAAUUACAAUCAUCCUCUGCCUCAGGUGAUUUCUUCUCCUGCCCUGUCGUUGUUUGUUCUCUAAUUCAAAAUUAUAAAAUAUUUAAUCAAAUUUUAUGCCAGGAAUAUGCAAAAGUUUCUAAUAUUUUAUUUCCAUCUGUUACAAGAUCAAACUGAAGCAGAACUCAAACAAAAGUAUGCUACUUCUUGCGGAAAUCUUGCCUUUGUUCAGAUUAUGAAACCAUUUCCAUGCAGCAAAUUCAUCCAAAAGUUUGAAUAAGUUUCAUGGUUGGACACUGUUGGCUUCUUUUUCUUCUGGGGUGCAUUUAGGUGCUAUCAAGUGACAGCUGUAAGUAUGAUUGCACUAAGCUGCCGCUGGGAAAUUUGAGGUUUUGAUGGCUGCCCAUGUUAUUUUCAAGAAACUAUUGAUGUAAGAAGCUGUGGUUCUUUUCAUCAGCUUGAACCUGAAACUGUCGCUAUGGAUAACUCAGGUUUUUGUUAUCAACUAUAUCAUCUUUUUCACUAUUUUGAAACUCUUAAGAUUAAACUUUAGUAAAGUUGUUUUAAUUAUCCAUGUAAUCAGGCUGAGGAUACUUAGCUGCCUAUUUAGGCAAAUGUCAGACUUUAGUUUGUUUGCUGGGAACUGGUGUGGUGACAGCGUCCUGGCAAAGGAUGAUGAGAUAGUUUUUUGAGUGAGUAAAUUUUGGGAGCUUGAGUGUAUUGGGAUUUGCAAUUACAAUCAUCCUCUGCCUCAGGUGAUUUCUUCUCCUGCCCUGUCGUUGUUUGUUCUCUAAUUCAAAAUUAUAAAAUAUUUAAUCAAAUUUUAU
RNAcentral lists this long non-coding RNA (1140 nucleotides) under Citrus sinensis (sweet orange). RNAcentral describes it as "long non-coding RNA (CSIN_LNC005000)". Lineage: Eukaryota; Viridiplantae; Streptophyta; Magnoliopsida; Sapindales; Rutaceae. The record is from RNAcentral.